This 407-nucleotide ribosomal RNA is filed under the name uncultured bacterium. RNAcentral describes it as "partial 16S ribosomal RNA". It matches the Rfam family "Bacterial small subunit ribosomal RNA", at positions 28 to 526 of the family's 1533-position model. The record is from RNAcentral.
GACGAACGCUGGCGGCGUGCCUAAUACAUGCAAGUAGGACGCAGUUGCGAACGGGUGAGUAACGCGUCGGUAACUGCCUAUUAGAGGGGGAUAACUAUUGGAAACGAUAGCUAAUACCGCAUACUAGUAGAUGGACCUGCGUUGUAUUAGCUAGUAGGUUGGGUAAUGGCCUACCUAGGCGACGCUACAUAGCCGACCUGGGAGGGGGAACGGCCACACGGGGACGGAGAAACGGCCCAGACUCCUACGGGAGGCAGCAGUAGGGAAUCUUCGGCAAUGGGGGGAAACCUGACCGAGCAACGCCGCGUGAGUGAAGAAGGUUUUCGGAUCGUAAAGCUCUGUUGUUAAGGAAGCGGUACUUAACCAGAAAGGGACGGCUAACUCCGUGCCAGCAGCCGCGGUAAUUC